Molecule: small nuclear RNA, 107 nt
Organism: Meriones unguiculatus (Mongolian gerbil)
Lineage: Eukaryota; Metazoa; Chordata; Mammalia; Rodentia; Muridae
Source: RefSeq, a predicted model, not a curated record
GUGCUCGCUUCAGCAGCACAUAUGCUAAAAUUGGAAAGAUACAAAGGAGAUUAGCAUGGUCCCUGAGCAAGGAUGACUUGCAUAAGAAAAAGAAAGAAAGAAAGAGA